This 72-nucleotide transfer RNA is filed under the name Rhodospirillaceae bacterium. RNAcentral describes it as "tRNA-Arg". It matches the Rfam family "tRNA". From Rfam's summary of the family: Transfer RNA (tRNA) molecules are approximately 80 nucleotides in length. Their secondary structure includes four short double-helical elements and three loops (D, anti-codon, and T loops). The record is from RNAcentral. RNAcentral also lists the same sequence under 2 other names. Lineage: Bacteria; Pseudomonadati; Pseudomonadota; Alphaproteobacteria; Rhodospirillales; Rhodospirillaceae.
GUUUCCGUAGUUCAAUGGACAGAACAAAGACCUCCUAAGUCUUAGAUGCAGGUUCAAUUCCUGUCGGAAACA